GACGAACGCUGGCGGCGUGCUUAACACAUGCAAGUCGAGCAGUAAGGCCCUUUCGGGGGUACACGAGCGGCGAACGGGUGAGUAACACGUGGGUGACCUGCCCUUAGCUCUGGGAUAAGCCUGGGAAACUGGGUCUAAUACCGGAUAUGACUCCAUGACGCAUGUUGUGGGGUGGAAAGCCUUGUGCGGCUAGGGAUGGGCCCGCGGCCUAUCAGCUUGUUGGUGGGGUGANGGCCUACCAAGGCGACGACGGGUAGCCGGCCUGAGAGGGCGACCGGCCACACUGGGACUGAGACACGGCCCAGACUCCUACGGGAGGCAGCAGUGGGGAAUCUUGCGCAAUGGGCGAAAGCCUGAUGCAGCGACGCCGCGUGAGGGAUGACGGCCUCGG
This 391-nucleotide ribosomal RNA is filed under the name uncultured bacterium. Its description in RNAcentral is "bacterial SSU rRNA". It matches the Rfam family "Bacterial small subunit ribosomal RNA", at positions 28 to 420 of the family's 1533-position model. The record is from RNAcentral.